This 1022-nucleotide ribosomal RNA is filed under the name Cerodontha muscina. Its description in RNAcentral is "eukaryotic LSU rRNA". It matches the Rfam family "Eukaryotic large subunit ribosomal RNA", at positions 99 to 951 of the family's 3401-position model. The record is from RNAcentral. Lineage: Eukaryota; Metazoa; Arthropoda; Insecta; Diptera; Agromyzidae.
AGAAAAUAGUUCAGCACUAAGUCACAUUGUUGUUAUGACAAUUGUGAAAUGCAGUGUAUGGAAUAUCUAUAUUCUAGUAUGAGAAAUUAAUGAUUUAAGUCCUUCUUAAAUGAGGCCAUUUAUCCAUAGAGGGUGCCAGGCCCGUAUAACAUUAAUGAUUACUAGAAGAUAUUUCCCAAGAGUCGUGUUGCUUGAUAGUGCAGCACUAAGUUGGUGGUAAACUCCAUCUAAAACUAAAUAUAACCAUGAGACCGAUAGCAAACAAGUACCGUGAGGGAAAGUUGAAAAGAACUCUGAAUAGAGAGUUAAAUAGUACGUGAAACUGCUUAGAGAUUAAACCCGAAGAACUUGAAUAUCCAAUAUAGAGAAUUCAUCAUUAUGACAAUUAUUAAAUAAUAAUUGUAAUAGUGUGCAAUUUCUUUAUAUAAUUGGACAUUGUAAUCUAUUAAUAUGUAAUUUAUCAUAAAAUCAUAGGCAUUUGUUUAUUUUUAAUUAAAAUGUUUCGGCACUUAAUAUGAAAAUAAUUGCUCUUGAUGUGAUAAAGUAUUGAUAGAUAUAUAUGUAUAGUGCUUAAAUUCAUUAUGAAUUUAUUUUUAUUUAAUUAAAAAUGCACUUUAUACGAUUUACAAUGCGAAAGAUUCAGGAUACCUUCGGGACCCGUCUUGAAACACGGACCAAGGAGUCUAACAUAUGUGCAAGUUUUUGGAAAUAAUUAAUUUAAUAUCCAAAAGCAUAAUAAACAUAACUUUUAUAAUGGGAUUAAUUUAUAAUAUAUAUAUUAUUAUUAAUUCAAUCCCGGGGCGUUCUUUAUAGUUAUGUAAUUAUAAAUAUUUUAUAUGAAUUUUUACCUCUAACUGGAGCGUACCCUGAGCAUAUAUGCUGUGACCCGAAAGAUGGUGAACUAUACUUGAUCAGGUUGAAGUCAGGGGAAACCCUGAUGGAAGACCGAAACAGUUCUGACGUGCAAAUCGAUUGUCAGAAUUGAGUAUAGGGGCGAAAGACCAAUCGAACUAUCUAGUAGC